Molecule: ribosomal RNA, 260 nt
Filed under: uncultured bacterium
Lineage: Bacteria
Description: partial 16S ribosomal RNA
Rfam family: Bacterial small subunit ribosomal RNA
Source: RNAcentral
AACGCGAAGAACCUUACCAAGGCUUGACAUCCCAAUGACCGGUGUAGAGAUACACCUUCUCUUCGGAGCAUUGGUGACAGGUGGUGCAUGGUUGUCGUCAGCUCGUGUCGUGAGAUGUUGGGUUAAGUCCCGCAACGAGCGCAACCCUUAUCUUCAGUAGCCAUCAUUAAGUUGGGCACUCUGGAGAGACUGCCGUGGAUAACACGGAGGAAGGUGGGGAUGACGUCAAAUCAUCAUGCCCCUUAUGUCUUGGGCUACAC